Molecule: ribosomal RNA, 232 nt
Filed under: uncultured bacterium
Lineage: Bacteria
Description: partial 16S ribosomal RNA
Rfam family: Bacterial small subunit ribosomal RNA
Source: RNAcentral
CGGACGGGUGAGUAAUGUCUGGGAAACUGCCUGAUGGAGGGGGAUAACUACUGGAAACGGUAGCUAAUACCGCAUAACGUCGCAAGACCAAAGAGGGGGACCUUCGGGCCUCUUGCCAUCGGAUGUGCCCAGAUGGAAUUAGCUAGUAGGUGGGGUAACGGCUCACCUAGGCGACGAUCCCUAGCUGGUCUGAGAGGAUGACCAGCCACACUGGAACUGAGACACGGUCCAG